This 411-nucleotide ribosomal RNA is filed under the name Candidatus Omnitrophota bacterium. RNAcentral describes it as "Candidatus Omnitrophica bacterium partial 23S ribosomal RNA". It matches the Rfam family "Bacterial large subunit ribosomal RNA", at positions 2516 to 2925 of the family's 2925-position model. Lineage: Bacteria; Pseudomonadati; Candidatus Omnitrophota. The record is from RNAcentral.
CUUUACCGCCAAAAUCAACCGUAAAUUUUUUGGGUUGCAUUGUUUUGCUCUGACCCACAGACUUUAGACUAUCUUUUACAGGCGCCGAUCCGUACAGAACGUCGUGAGACAGUUCGGUCCCUAUCUAUUACAGACGUAGGAUACUUGAGGAGAGAUCUUCCUAGUACGAGAGGACCGGAAGGUACGAAUCUCUGGUGUUUCUGUUGUACCGCCAGGUGCAUAGCAGAGUAGCCAUGUUCGGAAAGGAUAAGCGCUGAAGGCAUAUAAGCGCCAAGCCCCCUUCAAGAUAAGGUAUCCCAAUCCCGCAGGGGUAAGAAGACCACUUGUAGAACACAAGUUUGAUAGGCAGAGGGUGUAAGAGCCGUAAGGCUUUCAGCUGAUCUGUACUAAUCGGUCGUUCGGCUUGACUUU